Molecule: ribosomal RNA, 1999 nt
Filed under: Acinetobacter baumannii
Lineage: Bacteria; Pseudomonadati; Pseudomonadota; Gammaproteobacteria; Moraxellales; Moraxellaceae
Description: partial 23S ribosomal RNA
Rfam family: Bacterial large subunit ribosomal RNA
Source: RNAcentral
GAUGCAAACUCCGAAUACCUAUGAGUACUAUCCGGGAGACAGACUGCGGGUGCUAACGUCCGUAGUCAAGAGGAAAACAAUCCAGACCGCCAGCUAAGGCCCCAAAAUCAUAGUUAAGUGGGAAACGAUGUGGGAAGGCAUAGACAGCUAGGAGGUUGGCUUAGAAGCAGCCACCCUUUAAAGAAAGCGUAAUAGCUCACUAGUCGAGUCGGCCUGCGCGGAAGAUGUAACGGGGCUAAAACUAUGUGCCGAAGCUGCGGAUGUAUACUUUGUAUACGUGGUAGGGGAGCGUUCUGUAAGCCGAUGAAGGUGUGUUGAGAAGCAUGCUGGAGGUAUCAGAAGUGCGAAUGCUGACGUGAGUAACGACAAAACGGGUGAAAAACCCGUUCGCCGAAAGACCAAGGGUUCCAGUCCAACGUUAAUCGGGGCUGGGUGAGUCGACCCCUAAGGCGAGGCCGAAAGGCGUAGUCGAUGGGAAAAUGGUUAAUAUUCCAUUACUUCUGUGUAAUGCGAUGAGAGGACGGAGAAGGCUAAAUCAGCCUGGCGUUGGUUGUCCAGGUGAAAGGAUGUAGGCAUGUAUCUUAGGCAAAUCCGGGGUACUCUAUGCUGAGAUCUGAUAGCAAGCUGUACUUGUACAGCGAAGUGGUUGAUGCCAUGCUUCCAGGAAAAGUCUCUAAGCUUCAGUUACACAGGAAUCGUACCCGAAACCGACACAGGUGGUCAGGUCGAGUAGACCAAGGCGCUUGAGAGAACUCUGCUGAAGGAACUAGGCAAAAUGGUACCGUAACUUCGGGAGAAGGUACGCUGUUGUUGGUGAUGGAACUCGCUUCCUGAGCUGACGACAGCCGCAGAAACCAGGCCGCUGCAACUGUUUAUUAAAAACAUAGCACUCUGCAAACACGAAAGUGGACGUAUAGGGUGUGAUGCCUGCCCGGUGCUGGAAGGUUAAUUGAUGGGGUUAGCGUAAGCGAAGCUCUUGAUCGAAGCCCCAGUAAACGGCGGCCGUAACUAUAACGGUCCUAAGGUAGCGAAAUUCCUUGUCGGGUAAGUUCCGACCUGCACGAAUGGCAUAAUGAUGGCGGCGCUGUCUCCAGCAGAGGCUCAGUGAAAUCGAAAUCGCUGUGAAGAUGCAGUGUACCCGCGGCUAGACGGAAAGACCCCGUGAACCUUUACUGCAGCUUGACACUGAACUUUGACCUUACUUGUGUAGGAUAGGUGGGAGGCUUUGAAGCUGGAACGCUAGUUCCAGUGGAGCCGUCCUUGAAAUACCACCCUGGUAAUGUUGAGGUUCUAACUCUGUCCCGUGAUCCGGGACGAGGACCGUGUCUGGUGGGUAGUUUGACUGGGGCGGUCUCCUCCUAAAGAGUAACGGAGGAGUACGAAGGUGCGCUCAGCGUGGUCGGAAAUCACGCGUAGAGUAUAAAGGCAAAAGCGCGCUUAACUGCGAGACCCACAAGUCGAGCAGGUACGAAAGUAGGUCUUAGUGAUCCGGUGGUUCUGUAUGGAAGGGCCAUCGCUCAACGGAUAAAAGGUACUCUGGGGAUAACAGGCUGAUACCGCCCAAGAGUUCAUAUCGACGGCGGUGUUUGGCACCUCGAUGUCGGCUCAUCUCAUCCUGGGGCUGAAGCAGGUCCCAAGGGUAUGGCUGUUCGCCAUUUAAAGAGGUACGCGAGCUGGGUUUAGAACGUCGUGAGACAGUUCGGUCCCUAUCUACCGUGGGCGCUGGAAAUUUGAGAGGAUCUGCUCCUAGUACGAGAGGACCAGAGUGGACGAACCUCUGGUGUACCGGUUGUGACGCCAGUCGCAUCGCCGGGUAGCUAUGUUCGGAAGGGAUAACCGCUGAAAGCAUCUAAGCGGGAAGCCUACCUCAAGAUAAGAUUUCCCUAGGACUUUAUGUCCUCUAAAGAGCCGUUCGAGACUAGGACGUUGAUAGGUUGGAUGUGGAAGCAUAGUGAUAUGUGAAGCUGACCAAUACUAAUUGCUCGUGAGGCUUGACUAU